GUGGGGAAUAUUGGAAAAUGGGCGAAAGCCUGAUCCAGCCAUGCCGCGUGUGUGAAGAAGGUCUUCGGAUUGUAAAGCACUUUAAGUUGGGAGGAAGGGCAGUAAGUUAAUACCUUGCUGUUUUGACGUUACCGACAGAAUAAGCACCGGCUAACUUCGUGCCAGCAGCCGCGGUAAUACGAAGGGUGCAAGCGUUAAUCGGAAUUACUGGGCGUAAAGCGCGCGUAGGUGGUUUUGUAAGUUGGAGGUGAAAUCCCCGGGCUCAACCUGGGAACUGCCUCCAAAACUGCAUGACUAGAGUACGGUAGAGGGUAGUGGAAUUUCCUGUGUAGCGGUGAAAUGCGUAGAUAUAGGAAGGAACACCAGUGGCGAAGGCGACUACCUGGACUGAUACUGACACUGAGGUGCGAAAGCGUGGGGAGCAAACAGGAUUAGAUACCCUAGUAGUCC
Molecule: ribosomal RNA, 450 nt
Filed under: uncultured bacterium
Lineage: Bacteria
Description: partial 16S ribosomal RNA
Rfam family: Bacterial small subunit ribosomal RNA
Source: RNAcentral